This 138-nucleotide small RNA is filed under the name Geosporobacter ferrireducens. Its description in RNAcentral is "c-di-AMP sequence". It matches the Rfam family "c-di-AMP riboswitch aptamer (ydaO/yuaA leader)". Rfam says of the family: This family represents a conserved RNA structure found upstream of the ydaO and yuaA genes in Bacillus subtilis and related genes in other bacteria. The ydaO/yuaA element is thought to act as a genetic "off" switch for the ydaO and yuaA genes in its native state. The record is from Rfam by way of RNAcentral. Lineage: Bacteria; Bacillati; Bacillota; Clostridia; Peptostreptococcales; Thermotaleaceae.
UUUUUAUGUGCGCUGAAUUCUUUGAAAAAAAGAAGCGGGGGAACCAGUUCUUUGGGGUGAAUCUCUUUUUGAAGAGUAGGGUCAUCUUCUUUCGAUCCGAAUCCGUCAGCUAACCUCGUAAGCGUGGAAAGAGGAAGA